GUAACCUGCCCAAGAGACUGGGAUAACACCUGGAAACAGAUGCUAAUACCGGAUAACAACACUAGACGCAUGUCUAGAGUUUGAAAGAUGGUUCUGCUAUCACUCUUGGAUGGACCUGCGGUGCAUUAGCUAGUUGGUAAGGUAACGGCUUACCAAGGCAAUGAUGCAUAGCCGAGUUGAGAGACUGAUCGGCCACAUUGGGACUGAGACACGGCCCAAACUCCUACGGGAGGCAGCAGUAGGGAAUCUUCCACAAUGGACGAAAGUCUGAUGGAGCAACGCCGCGUGAGUGAAGAAGGGUUUCGGCUCGUAAAGCUCUGUUGGUAGUGAAGAAAGAUAGAGGUAGUAACUGGCCUUUAUUUGACGGUAAUUACUUAGAAAGUCACGGCUAACUACGUGCCAGCAGCCGCGGUAAUACGUAGGUGGCAAGCGUUGUCCGGAUUUAUUGGGCGUAAAGCGAGUGCAGGCGGUUCAAUAAGUCUGAUGUGAAAGCCUUCGGCUCAACCGGAGAAUUGCAUCAGAAACUGUUGAACUUGAGUGCAGAAGAGGAGAGUGGAACUCCAUGUGUAGCGGUGGAAUGCGUAGAUAUAUGGAAGAACACCAGUGGCGAAGGCGGCUCUCUGGUCUGCAACUGACGCUGAGGCUCGAAAGCAUGGGUAGCGAACAGGAUUAGAUACCCUGGUAGU
Molecule: ribosomal RNA, 686 nt
Filed under: uncultured bacterium
Lineage: Bacteria
Description: bacterial SSU rRNA
Rfam family: Bacterial small subunit ribosomal RNA
Source: RNAcentral